GAAAUGCGAUAAGUAGUGUGAAUUGCAGAAUUUAGCGAAUCAUCGAAUCUUUGAACGCACAUUGCGCCCCUUGGUAUUCCAUGGGGCAUGCCUGUUCGAGCGUCAUUUCAACCCUCAAGCACUGCUUGGUGUUGGGCGUUUGUCCCGCCUACGCGCGUGGACUCGCCCCAAAGUCAUUGGCAGCUGUUCCCCUUCGGCUCGUAAGCGCAGCACAGUCGGCGCCCGGAGCUCUGGUGGGAUGGCGUCCAGCAAGCUAUAUUUUCAGGCUUGACCUCGGAUCAGGUAGGGAUACCCGCUGAACUUAAGC
RNAcentral lists this unclassified non-coding RNA (307 nucleotides) under plant metagenome. RNAcentral describes it as "partial contains 5.8S ribosomal RNA, internal transcribed spacer 2, and large subunit ribosomal RNA". The stretch from base 1 to 105 matches the Rfam family "5.8S ribosomal RNA", at positions 50 to 154 of the family's 154-position model. The record is from RNAcentral.